This is a long non-coding RNA of Oncorhynchus keta (chum salmon), 260 nucleotides long. RefSeq lists it as uncharacterized. NCBI's taxonomy places the organism in Eukaryota, Metazoa, Chordata, Actinopteri, Salmoniformes, Salmonidae. The record is from RefSeq and is a predicted model, not a curated record. The transcript is spliced from 4 exons.
GGGGGCAGUGAGAGGCAUAGAGGUGUCUGUGAGGGGGGCAGUGAGAGGCAUAGAGGUGUCUGUGAGGGGGGCAGUGAGAGGCAUAGAGGUGUCUGUGAGGGGGGCAGUGAGAGGCAUAGAGGUGUCUGUGAGGGGGGCAGUGAGAGGCAUAGAGGUGUCUGUGAGGGGGGCAGUGAGAGGCAUAGAGGUGUCUGUGAGGGGGGCAGUGAGAGGCAUAGAGGUGUCUGUGAGGGGGGCAGUGAGAGGCAUAGAGGUGUCUG